RNAcentral lists this ribosomal RNA (775 nucleotides) under uncultured bacterium. RNAcentral's name for it is "bacterial SSU rRNA". It matches the Rfam family "Bacterial small subunit ribosomal RNA", at positions 8 to 796 of the family's 1533-position model. The record is from RNAcentral.
AGAGUUUGAUCCUGGCUCAGAACGAACGCUGGCGGCGUGGAUAAGACAUGCAAGUCGAACGGGAUUAGUUUUGUAGCAAUACAAAGCUGGUCCAGUGGCGAACGGGUGCGUAACACGUGACCAACUUUCCCAGAAGUGGGGGAUAGCUCGCCGAAAGGCGAAUUAAUACCGCAUACGCUCGUAAGAGCAAAGCAGCAAUGCGCUUUUGGAUGGGGUCGCGGCCUAUCAGCUAGUUGGUGAGGUAACGGCUCACCAAGGCAUCGACGGGUAGCUGGUCUGAGAGGACGACCAGCCACACUGGAACUGAGACACGGUCCAGACACCUACGGGUGGCAGCAGUCGAGAAUUUUUCUCAAUGGGGGAAACCCUGAAGGAGCGACGCCGCGUGGAGGAUGAAGGCUUUCGGGUUGUAAACUCCUGUCAUUUGGGAACAAGGCCCGCAAGGGAUUGAUAGUACCAGAAGAGGAAGAGACGGCUAACUCUGUGCCAGCAGCCGCGGUAAUACAGAGGUCUCAAGCGUUGUUCGGAUUCAUUGGGCGUAAAGGGCGCGUAGGCGGCGAGGUAAGUCUGGUGUGAAAUCUCGAAGCUCAACUUCGAGACUGCACUGGAUACUGCUUUGCUUGAGGACUGGAGAGGAGAUUGGAAUUCACGGUGUAGCAGUGAAAUGCGUAGAGAUCGUGAGGAAGACCGGUGGCGAAGGCGGAUCUCUGGACAGUUCCUGACGCUGAGGCGCGAAGGCCAGGGGAGCAAACGGGAUUAGAUACCCCGGUAGUCC